CUGAUUCAUGACAUGCCUAGUAUCCAAGUGUUUGGAGAGAAAAGUGAAACGAGCAAGCCUGUCGAUGGUGAUGAUGAAGAUGGCAAUGAAGAUGGGGACGGAGAAGAGGACGGUGCUGUCGGGGAGGGUGACGAAGAACCAUCUGAGGAUGACGGGGAGGGAUACGAGAACCCCAAUAAUAACAGUGGCAAGAAAGCCCCUGGCGACGGUGCUGGUGGUGAAGAAAACGGAGAGGAUGAUGAUGAAGAGGCCGAGGAUCCAGAGGACGGGGAUGACGACGACGAUGAUGAAGAAGAUGAGGAUGACGAUGAUGGUGGAGAGGACGAGGACGAGGGUGUGGAAGACGACGAGGAGAACGAGGAUGAAGAGGAAGACGACGAGGAAGAGGAGCUUCAACCUCCUAAGAAGAGGAAGAAGUGAGCGUGGUCGAAGUCGGGCUCGGUUUUAGUUGUAGCUUCUCUUGCUCUUUCGCAGUUCAGUCCGUUCGACCUCGCCGUGUGCCCUAACCCUGGUUUCAUUUCAGGAUUCAUAACGACAGACCGUUGUGGUGUUGGCCUAUGUAGGAGUACUAUUUCCUAAUGCAUCAGAGAGAACUUUGUCAAAUUUUGAUUUGUCUCUCUCAGUUAUUUAAGCUAACAAACUCUAAACUAUGCUGCUUCAAUUUGGUAUCAGAUUUUAACAAUGUAGUCAAAUGCAGCUCACUUUUCCCUCCUUGUUUGGGUCCAUAUGCAUGCAUGUCUCUUAUCUAAACUUUUAUGUGGUUGAAAUCUGGUGCUUGUGGCAACAGGUGAAACACAGCUUGAAGAUGAG
Molecule: long non-coding RNA, 810 nt
Filed under: Musa acuminata (dwarf banana)
Lineage: Eukaryota; Viridiplantae; Streptophyta; Magnoliopsida; Zingiberales; Musaceae
Description: long non-coding RNA (MACU_LNC003029)
Source: RNAcentral